Molecule: ribosomal RNA, 429 nt
Filed under: Chloroflexota bacterium
Lineage: Bacteria; Bacillati; Chloroflexota
Description: Chloroflexi bacterium partial 16S ribosomal RNA
Rfam family: Bacterial small subunit ribosomal RNA
Source: RNAcentral
UGGGGAAUAUUGCACAAUGGGCGCAAGCCUGAUGCAGCCAUGCCGCGUGUAUGAAGAAGGCCUUCGGGUUGUAAAGUACUUUCAGCGGGGAGGAAGGGAGUAAAGUUAAUACCUUUACUCAUUGACGUUACCCGCAGAAGAAGCACCGGCUAACUCCGUGCCAGCAGCCGCGGUAAUACGGAGGGUGCAAGCAUUAAUCGGAAUUACUGGGCGUAAAGCGCACGCAGGCGGUUUGUUAAGUCAGAUGUGAAAUCCCCGGGCUCAACCUGGGAACUGCAUCUGAUACUGGCAAGCUUGAGUCUCGUAGAAGGGGGUAGAAUUCCAGGUGUAGCGGUGAAAUGCGUAGAGAUCUGGAGGAAUACCGGUGGCGAAGGCGGCCCCCUGGACGAAGACUGACGCUCAGGUGCGAAAGCGUGGGGAGCAAACAGG